RNAcentral lists this ribosomal RNA (683 nucleotides) under Batillipes longispinosus. RNAcentral describes it as "12S ribosomal RNA". The record is from RNAcentral. Lineage: Eukaryota; Metazoa; Tardigrada; Heterotardigrada; Arthrotardigrada; Batillipedidae.
CAAAAGCAUCAUUAUGGUGUAAUAAAUUAUAGCCUUAUUUUAUUAUAAAAAUAAUAAUAAAUAAAAUAAUAAAAACAAUUCUACAAUAUUUGACAAAGUGAUAGAGUAAUUAAAAAGUUAAGACUAAUUAAAUGCCAGCAGUCGCGGUUAUAUUUAAUUAAAAAUAUUAUAAUAACUUCUAAUAAAAUUAUAUUAUCAAUUGAGUAAAAUCAACAACAAUAACAUAAUAUUAUUAAUUAGAGGGUAUAAAGUUUAGUAAUAAAAUAAGAUUAGAUACCUUAGUAUUCUAAAUGAUAAUAAGUAGUAAAUUUUAACAAUUGAAACUUAAAUUUAAUGGCGGCUUUAUAAAUGUAAGAGGAACUUGUUAAAUAAUAGUCAACACCCUAAUAAUUUAUGUUUAAGUUCGUAUAUCGCCGUGAAAUUAUACAUAAAGUUCCAUUAAUUACCUAAUGAAUUUACAUUCAGGUCAAUAUGCGGCAUAUAAUAUAAAUAUUAAUUAGUUACACUGUCCAAUUAAAAUAGUAAAAUUAUAUAUUAUAUAAUUUUACCUCCGGAUUUUAGAGUAAAUUAUCAAUAUUGAGGAUAAUUGAAUUAAUUUUGUAAAGUGCACAUAUCGCCCGUCAUUUCCAAUUAUUUAAAGUUGGAAGAAGUCGUAACAAAGUGGACCCAAGUGAACUUGGGUC